UACGUAGGGGGCAAGCGUUAUCCGGAUUUACUGGGUGUAAAGGGAGCGCAGGCGGUAUGGCAAGUCAGAUGUGAAAACCCAGGGCUCAACCCUGGGACUGCAUUUGAAACUGUACUUCUUGAGUGCUGGAGAGGCAAUCGGAAUUCCGUGUGUAGCGGUGAAAUGCGUAGAUAUACGGAGGAACACCAGUGGCGAAGGCGGAUUGCUGGACAGUAACUGACGCUGAGGCGCGAAAGCGUGGGGAGCAAACAGG
This 253-nucleotide ribosomal RNA is filed under the name uncultured Oscillospira sp. Its description in RNAcentral is "partial 16S ribosomal RNA". It matches the Rfam family "Bacterial small subunit ribosomal RNA", at positions 524 to 776 of the family's 1533-position model. Lineage: Bacteria; Bacillati; Bacillota; Clostridia; Eubacteriales; Oscillospiraceae. The record is from RNAcentral.